CCCUUAGAUGUUCUGGGCCGCACGCGCGCUACAAUGAUGAAUUCAACGAGUUUUCGACCUUGUCCGAGAGGAUUGGGUAAUCUUUUUAAAAUGCAUCGUGAUGGGGAUAGAUUAUUGCAAUUAUUAAUCUUGAACGAGGAAUUCCUAGUAAACGCAGAUCAUCAAUCUGCAUUGAUUACGUCCCUGCCCUUUGUACACACCGCCCGUCGCACCUACCGAUUGGAUGGUCCGGUGAAGCCUCGGGAUUGUGGUUCUUGCCGCUUUAUUGUGGCGUGACCGCGAGAACUUGUCUAAACCUUAUCAUCUAGAGGAAGGUGAAGUCGUAACA
This 328-nucleotide ribosomal RNA is filed under the name uncultured eukaryote. RNAcentral's name for it is "partial 18S ribosomal RNA". It matches the Rfam family "Eukaryotic small subunit ribosomal RNA", at positions 1470 to 1796 of the family's 1831-position model. The record is from RNAcentral.